This 460-nucleotide ribosomal RNA is filed under the name uncultured bacterium. Its description in RNAcentral is "partial 16S ribosomal RNA". It matches the Rfam family "Bacterial small subunit ribosomal RNA", at positions 338 to 795 of the family's 1533-position model. The record is from RNAcentral.
CCUACGGGGGGCAGCAGUGAGGAAUAUUGGUCAAUGGGCGCAAGCCUGAACCAGCCACGUAGCGUGAAGGAUGAAUGCCCUAGGCGUUGUAAACUUCUUUUAUAAAGGAGUAAAUUAAGGCACGUGUGCCUUUUUGUAUGUCCUUUAUGAAUAAGGAUCGGCUAACUCCGUGCCAGCAGCCGCGUUAAUACGGAGGCACCGGGCGUUAUCCGGAUUUAUUGGGUUUAAAGGGACGGUAGAUGGGUUGUUAAGUCAGUUGUGAAAGUUCGGGGCUCAACCGUAAACUUGCAUUUGAUACUGGCAGUCUUGAGUACAGGUGAGGUAGGCGGAAUUCGUGGUGUAGCGGUGAAAUGCUUAGAUAUCACGAAGAACUCCGAUUGCGAAGGCAGCUUACUAGACUGCCACUGACGUUGAGGCUCGAAAGCGUGGGUAUCAAACAGGAUUAGAUACCCGAGUAGUC